This 440-nucleotide ribosomal RNA is filed under the name uncultured bacterium. RNAcentral describes it as "partial 16S ribosomal RNA". It matches the Rfam family "Bacterial small subunit ribosomal RNA", at positions 338 to 795 of the family's 1533-position model. The record is from RNAcentral.
CCUACGGGUGGCAGCAGUGGGGAAUAUUGCACAAUGGGGGAAACCCUGAUGCAGCGACGUCGCGUGAGUGAAGAAGUAAUUCGUUAUUGAAAGCUCUAUCAGCAGGGAAGAAAAUGACGGUACCUGAGUAAGAAGCCCCGGCUAACUACGUGCCAGCAGCCGCGGUAAUACGUAGGGGGCAAGCGUUAUCCGGAUUUACUGGGUGGAAAGGGAGCGUAGACGGGUGUGCAAGUCUGAAGUGAAAGCCCGUGGCUCAACCGCGGAACUGCUGUGGAAACUGUAUGGCUUGAGUACUGGAGAGGCAGGCGGAAUUCCUGGUGUAGCGGUGAAAUGCGUAGAUAUUAGGAGGAACACCAGUGGCGAAGGCGGCCUGCUGGACAGAAACUGACGUUGAGGCUCGAAAGCGUGGGGAGCAAACAGGAUUAGAUACCCCUGUAGUC